Molecule: non-coding RNA, 76 nt
Organism: Peptoclostridium acidaminophilum DSM 3953
Lineage: Bacteria; Bacillati; Bacillota; Clostridia; Peptostreptococcales; Peptoclostridiaceae
Source: Rfam
AAGAGCCGUAUGAAGGGAGACUUUCACGUACGGUUCUGUGAGAAGCUCGGGGUGAAACUCCCCUUGCUUACUCGAC